This 345-nucleotide long non-coding RNA is filed under the name Elaeis guineensis (African oil palm). RNAcentral describes it as "long non-coding RNA (EGUI_LNC021883)". Lineage: Eukaryota; Viridiplantae; Streptophyta; Magnoliopsida; Arecales; Arecaceae. The record is from RNAcentral.
GAAAUCUAGUUGUAUGUUUGAAAAUCAUCACCUCUCUCCUGACCAACAAGGAUCAAAUCCUACGGUCUCCAUCCCACAUAGGCUGGCAGACUAUAUCCUAGGAAAGAAAGUGAAGUCCAUGCCCCCCAUCUAGUGCCCCAUAGGAAAUUUUGAUACUGCUGCUCCAGACCCUAAAAGAAGAGCACUGCACCACAGUAUUUAUCAAAAAGUAGAUCGGAAUAAAACUUAGGAUCGAUCUUACCAGGAUAGUCCUAUCGAUCAUGGAGAGAGCAUUGACUUAUUAGUCAUCGAGGCGCUCACGAAUCCGCUGGUCGAUGGAUCUACAGUCGGUCCUUCGAAGUCUCU